CACACGCCAGCUUCAACCGAGGCCCUGAAACAUUUAGGGUCGCUUCACUGACUCUUCUACAAGACAUCGUCUCAGGGUGUGGAGGAAGGCGCCUUUGCAAGCAACAGGAUUAAAAGUCAUCGAGAAGAUGCCUGGAAGGGUAGCUUGCCCUGCCACAGGGCCCGGGGAGCUGUUCACAGCCACGUGAGUGACAACUGCAAGUCUCUGAGAGCUCCUGGGGGGAGACACACAGCAGAAAGCGCACAGCUUGAUUUGCAGAUGCCAAUUUGAGCUUGCAGCCUGGAAACUGCUAUGGAAAGGAAAAACUCACCUGUAGACAGGAUUUGGGGUCGCGUCAAGCAGCCAGGUGUCUUCUCAAGGAAAAAAGGACUGACAGCUGGAGCAUUCUCCUUCAGAAAUUCCCAGCAGCGCUAAUGAGGAGCAAUAAAAAUAAGCAAGCACUAUCAACUUCGGAGAAUAGGAAAAAUCCUGCUGUGGAUAUUCUCAUCUUUUUUAAGUCUGAGGGUGGAAAUGAGAACAUAAUCACCCAUGAUGAGCUGGCUGAGCAAAGUUGGGCCAAGCCAUCAAAUGCAGCUGUUGGCUUUCCACGGGAAUCAUCUCUCUUGCCUCCCAGUACACUUCAGGAGGAGCAAAAAGGUCACUUUCCCUGAAGAGGAACCACCUUUAAGAAUCAGACCACCUUCAUCUUUAAAUAUUUGAAGAACAUUUCAUUAAGGCCCUACCAAAGGGAACUCUUUGCUCUUGAGGCCUCAGCUGCACUGUUGAAUAAUUAAUUUGACCACGACCUCACCAUCCUCAAUUCUAGAAGCUAACUCCAGAGUGAAGCUGUGCCCCUGCCGCUCCAUAUCCACCCCCUUGCCACAGCUGCCCCUCCUCAUGCCACUCUUCCCUUCCUGGGGAUGGAACUUGAGACACAUCCUUACACUUCCCCUGCAGUAGCCCAAGUCUAGCAGAGGGACUUGGCUGAGAAGCCUGUCCCAGGAACUGAUCAAGUGGCUCCAUCUGGCUCACAAGAUGCAGGGUAUGCCAGGCCACAGAGGCAGAAGGCUCAAGAGGAGAUUAUAUUUUUAGCCUACACUGUGGUUAAGAAUUCAGAUGCUAUGUUUCCAUACAGGUAAAAUUGCUGUUCUCCACAGCACUCCAAAUCUACACGCCUUGGAGAGCCCGUUUCCAUCCCUUCAGAAAGCAUCAAGAGGAGAGGAGGAAGCUUUUGGAGCUUUUAAGCCUCACUCCUCCCUCUGCCUCUUGUGCCUCACAUCUGGACAAGCAGAAAUCCUGGAUAUUCCUUCCUUUGGUGCCAGCAGGGGAUUCAAACCACAAAGCUCCAGCCAUUUCGGAAUUCUCACCUCAGCCCCACCUCCUCACCACGGUAAAAAUCCAGGCCAGUCUCCUUUCCUUCCCUCUCAAGCCAUUUCAGACCUGCUUCAGAGGAAUGCCCUACUCUCCCAGAGACCUCAGUUGUUCUAUGCAUCCAAAACGAGAGCAAAGAACACAACUGUUAUUAUCU
This 1507-nucleotide long non-coding RNA is filed under the name Equus caballus (horse). Its description in RNAcentral is "lncRNA (ENSECAG00000054039.1)". The record is from RNAcentral. Lineage: Eukaryota; Metazoa; Chordata; Mammalia; Perissodactyla; Equidae.